Molecule: ribosomal RNA, 270 nt
Filed under: uncultured archaeon
Lineage: Archaea
Description: partial 16S ribosomal RNA
Rfam family: Archaeal small subunit ribosomal RNA
Source: RNAcentral
CUGCAGCCCAAGUGGUGAUCGAUAUUAUUGAGCCUAAAGCGUCCGUAGCCGGACUAGUAAACCCUUGGGUAAAUUGGGCAGCUUAACUGUCCAAAUUCCGAGGGGACUGCUAGUCUUGGGACCGGGAGAGGUCAGAGGUACUCAAGGGGUAGGGGCUAAAUCCUGUAAUCCUUUGGGGACCACCAGUGGCGAAGGCGUCUGACUAGAACGGAUCCGACGGUAAGGGACGAAACCCUGGGGCGCGAUCCGGAUUAGAGACCCGAGUAGUCC